CCUAGUAACUGCGAGUGAAGCGGGAAAAGCUCAAAUUUAAAAUCUGGUAGUCUUCUGGCUGCCCGAAUUGUAAUCUAGAGAAGCGUUAUCGGCACUGGACCGUGUACAAGUCUCCUGGAAUGGAGCGUCAUAGAGGGUGAGAAUCCCGUCUCUGACACGGACUACCAGAGCUUUGUGAUGCGCUCUCAAAGAGUCGAGUUGUUUGGGAAUGCAGCUCUAAAUGGGUGGUAAAUUCCAUCUAAAGCUAAAUAUUGGCGAGAGACCGAUAGCGAACAAGUACCGUGAGGGAAAGAUGAAAAGAACUUUGGAAAGAGAGUUAAACAGUACGUGAAAUUGUUGAAAGGGAAACGCUUGAAGUCAGUCGCGUUGCCCAGGGAUCAGCCUUGCACUCUUGCUUGGUGUACUCCCUGUGCAAUGGGUCAGCAUCAGUUUUGACCGAUGGAUAAAGGUUAGGGGAAUGUGGCAUCUUCGGAUGUGUUAUAGCCCUUGACCGUAUACAUCGGUCGGGAUUGAGGAACUCAGCACGCCGCAAGGCCGGGUUUUUAACCACGUUCGUGCUUAGGAUGCUGGCAUAAUGGCUUUAAUCGACCCGUCUUGAAACACGGACCAAGGAGUCUAACAUGCCUGCGAGUGUUUGGGUGGAAAACCCGAGCGCGUAAUGAAAGUGAUAAGUUGAGAUCCUUGUCAUGGGGAGCACCGACGCCCAGACCAGACCUUUUGUGACGGAUCUGCGGUAGAGCAUGUAUGUUGGGACCCGAAAGAUGGUGAACUAUGCCUGAAUAGGGUGAAGCCAGAGGAAACUCUGGUGGAGGCUCGUANCGAUUCUGACGUGCAAAUCGAUCGUCGAAUUUGGGUAUAGG
Molecule: ribosomal RNA, 860 nt
Filed under: Rhizocybe vermicularis
Lineage: Eukaryota; Fungi; Basidiomycota; Agaricomycetes; Agaricales; Tricholomataceae
Description: eukaryotic LSU rRNA
Rfam family: Eukaryotic large subunit ribosomal RNA
Source: RNAcentral